RNAcentral lists this ribosomal RNA (253 nucleotides) under uncultured bacterium. Its description in RNAcentral is "partial 16S ribosomal RNA". It matches the Rfam family "Bacterial small subunit ribosomal RNA", at positions 524 to 776 of the family's 1533-position model. The record is from RNAcentral.
UACGGAGGAGGCAAGCGUUAUCCGGAAUUAUUGGGCGUAAAGCGUCCGCAGGUGGCGAUUCAAGUCUGCGGUUAAAGACUGGGGCUUAACCCUGGAAAGGCCGUGGAAACUGAAUAGCUAGAGUGCAGUAGGGGUAGAGGGAAUUCCCGGUGUAGCGGUGAAAUGCGUAGAGCUCGGGAAGAACAUCGGUGGCGAAAGCGCUCUGCUGGACUGCAACUGACACUCAGGGACGAAAGCUAGGGGAGCGAAUGGG